Long non-coding RNA from Mytilus trossulus (common blue mussel), 529 nucleotides. RefSeq lists it as uncharacterized. The transcript has 3 exons. The record is from RefSeq and is a predicted model, not a curated record. Lineage: Eukaryota; Metazoa; Mollusca; Bivalvia; Mytilida; Mytilidae.
UGGAACGGUGGACCAGUUUAUAUGACACUGAUCUGUAGUUUUGUAUAAUAUGAUCACUUGGUAUUUCUCUCUAUGUAAGUGCAACGAAGAUGACAGACAGUGGACAUCAAAAGGAGGAAAGACAAGUUAAACAUAAACGGGAUAGUUUUCCUGUUUCGUUUAUGAAACAUUCAUCACAGUUCAAGAAAUUGGAGGUCACCAGACACUUCUAUCAAAAGGAUUUUUAUUAAAGAAACACAAAAUUUUAGAAGGCAGACAAAAUGGCAGAAGUUACUACAACCACAGAGAACAGUAGUGAAGGAUACAUUUUGAGGAAAAUCUUUAGAGAUAGCUUUGGUUGGACGGAAAAAUGGAAACAUGUAUUUGGGAAUAUUACAUUUACAAAGAUGAUUGUUCGAAAAGUUAAGAAGAGUUUGAAGAUGAAUAAUUCCAACUACAGAUCUGCAUGUCACUAAAAGAUCAGAUUACUAAACGAUUAGUACCAGAUGCAUUAUAACGAAGCUUCAAGUUGUCUCUCAGUUUGUCUGUA